UUAAUGAAGGUUUAUAGAAAACAAGGAUUGUUAAUAAAAUGUUUAAAUGCAGUUAUAACAUAAUUUACGGUGACCAUGCAUGGGUCAGUAAAUGGAGAGUAACAGGAAUAAAUAUAUUUUAUAUGGUAUGACUUUGUCAGUAAAUUGAUCAAUAAGGGAUGAUAUGUCCAUAGAAAUUAAUUCUUUUUAUGUAAGCCAAUACAUUUGUAUAAUAACUGCUUUAUAAAUUAUUUCAUGCAUUCAAAAAUACUUGUGAUUUAUGCACUAUUCUAAACUUCAUUACAUCAUAAGAUGUUUCAUGACAUGUCAGUCACUAUGUGAUUUUACAUGUACUCAAGAUCUGUCUAUUCUACUGUCAUAUACAUGUAUUUAUAUAUUGAUAUGAAAACUUGGGAAGAAAGAGACAAUUGUAUACCAUCAUUCAUGUGCAAUAUUCCAUUAGAAAUGGUUCUAUUAUGAAGAGUAUAAACUAUCAAUUCAGUUCUUUAAAUCAAACAAAACAAAAUUAUUAAGUCUUUUUACAUUUCAGACAGCAUAACAUCUGACCAGAUAUAUACUGCAGUACCUGUCUCACCAGUUCCAGCACUGAAUGCUACUCCCACAUGCCAGACUGUUGAAGAUUUACCAUCUUCUGUGGAAGAUAUCUGGAUAAGGAGACUUGAGCAGAUUCACCAGAGAAAUGAAGAGUUAACACAUCCUAGUGCGACUGUUCCUGCCAGCCUACCAGUACCUGCACAAAUACAGACUUGCACUCAGCAACCACCAAAACCCAGUGAGAGUAAGCAGAAGAAGAAAGCUAAGAGAACUGUAGAUGAUGUGUAUGAGUUGCAGCUCUUCCAUCUUGAUGACCAUUGAAAUGUUCCCCAAGAUCACCAUCAUUGCCUACAAUUACUCC
Long non-coding RNA from Mytilus californianus (California mussel), 895 nucleotides. RefSeq lists it as uncharacterized. The record is from RefSeq and is a predicted model, not a curated record. The transcript has 3 exons. NCBI's taxonomy places the organism in Eukaryota, Metazoa, Mollusca, Bivalvia, Mytilida, Mytilidae.